UACGUAGGGGGCAAGCGUUGUCCGGAUUUAUUGGGCGUAAAGAGCGUGUAGGCGGCUUGGUAGGUCUCGCGUCAAAACCUGAGGCUCAACCUCAGUUCGCGUGGGAAACCACCUAGCUAGAGUCCGGAAGAGGAGAACGGAAUUCCCAGUGUAGCGGUGAAAUGCGCAGAUAUUGGGAAGAACACCUGCGGCGAAGGCGGGUUGCUGGGCUGAUACUGACGCUGAGGAGCGAAAGCGUGGGGAGCGAACAGG
This 252-nucleotide ribosomal RNA is filed under the name uncultured bacterium. RNAcentral's name for it is "partial 16S ribosomal RNA". It matches the Rfam family "Bacterial small subunit ribosomal RNA", at positions 524 to 776 of the family's 1533-position model. The record is from RNAcentral.